CUCGAGCCGACGCGGGAGGUUUUUUUUUCUUUUUACCUAUUAUAUCUCCUUUUGAGCAUGUCAAAAACUCGAAAACCAAAAUAUUUUUAUUUGCCUUUCUUUUCUUCCCCAAUCAUGACCAAAGGGAACAAGAAAGGAUUCCUGUUUUUCAUGACAAUUCCUUCUUGGGUCUUCGGCAGGCAUAGUAGAUAUAACCCACGGGCAUGUUCUCAUCAUACAUUAUCAGUGAGGGGAGUGUAUCUUGCUCUCCGAUUUUCAUUGGAAUCAUGGAUGGGUCUUUGUCAGGACGUUCAGAUGAUGUUCAGGACUUUGGAGGGACAACAAGCAUGGAUUGGAAAUCUUACCUGGUGGAAUGGAACGAGGUUGUCGAGGUUAACAGCUCCACCGAUUGUGAUGUCUGUUCACUGAAUAUUUACUCUGAAUUCCCAUUUCUACCAAUACACACUCAUUUGAGGAACACGAAGAUGGAUGUUUCCUGCCAUGAGGCUCGGGCCGCGUUUCACGCUGUGCACUCUUUUCUGCCUCAAAAUCGAUGCACCCAAGCUCCGUGGUCUGUUUGGAAUAACAACAGUAUUCUCAUAUUUAUUGUUACCGCGCAUAUCCCACUCUAUUCUCCUGCCGUGCACUUUGCCAGCACUCUGCUGUGAUGCCCUUUUGUCUGAUUCGGGGUCCUUGCGAGACCCUGGUAGAUCCCAUUACGUUGCUCAGCCGAAGAUUCGAUCCAGCCACGUGAUGCCUAUCAGCGCAACACUGGGCUGCUUUAAGACUUCCAAUCCGCAGGAUAACACGGUCGUCAGACGCGUGUCCGGAAGCAAGAUCUCAAAGUGGUCGACUGUUGCGAUCGUUUUGAUGGUGACCCAUGGGGUUCGAGCCGGACAACUGGACCAUUCCGACUGCUGUAACAAUAUCAUAACAUUGGCAUAUCUUGCACUAUUGAAGCUGUUAAGAGAAGGCCUAAUCCUGGCUCGCCGCUCCGGCUGUACCUCCAUCGAUCGCAGAGAGCACUCAUCCCACUGAAAUGGACUCCCGGAUGGGCAAUUACACACCCGAGGAAUCAUAGCCCACAGUGUCCUGUGAAAAAAAAAACAGAAGGAUCCUGUUGAUAUUCUGAUUUACCUCGUCCAUGUGGAGAGAAAAAGAACAACAACAUGCAACUUGGAACUGUUCCUCUGCAUAUCUACAAGGCUGUGACCUGGGACCUCAAGCUUCACGUCAGUUCAGCGAUGCACGUAACGUGAUGAUGUUGUGACGCAGACAUUGUGAAUUUGAACGAUUACCCAAAGCUAAACUCCUAAUCCAUCCAUCCAUUGGGACCAUACUCUGUGCAGAGCGUUGGUGCUGCUUCAGCAGUCUCCUUGGCUAUUGACACAAUCCUGGACGGGUCGCCACUCCGACACAGGAUACCAGCAAGUUGGCACUCAUUUUGCCGACCUCUGAAGGAUGACAGGCAGAGUCAACCACACCUGGUAUUAAUUCAACAGCCAAGUGGGAUUUUAACUCAGGAUCCUCAAAUCCCAAGCCCACCACCACCCUAACCAUAAAGCCAACACCAGGCAUAAACUGCACAUGGGCCACAGGUAACACCUUCGAGGCCACGAUUUUGUUGGUCUUGGUGGUGCGGCGGUUCUUCCAUUACCUGAGACAAGUGGAGACCCUGAAGGGUUGAUGAGAUCUCCUGAAUUUCUCGUCACAAAUAUCCCGCUCACAGAUACAGAUACAGCCUGUUUCUGCAACAGUAACUGAAUUCUGAAACUCCGGCAUUUUCGCGAGCUCGAUCGGAGUUUAAUUGGGAAGCAAGGAUAAUGAAAAGAUCAGGUGGACAUUUGUUAAAGUUCCACACAAAAUAUCUCAUGAAUGUUGAAAAGCUUAAUUUAUAAACGGAGUGCUCUACCCUUUCUGGGAAUAAUUUUCCAUGGAAAUAUCUGCCAGGAAUGAAAUGAUUCAAUGCCUAUGAUUCCACUGGAAAUUGUAUUUAUCUCAUUUAUUAAGCAAACUUUGUUGCAGGCACGGACGAUUGUGACUGAACUCAGCGACGCGUGUGUGUGUGUGUGUGUGUGUGUGUGUGUGUGUGUGUGUGUGUGUGUGUGUGUGUGUGUGUGUGUGUGUGUGUGUGUGUGUGUGUGUGUGUGUGUGUGUGCGUGUGUGUGUGUGCGUGCGUGCGUGUCCAGACUUACAGAUUUAGUGUUUUCUAUACAAAAGUUUGAGAUAAAAUUGCUUCUACAUUGUUCUUGGCUGUAGUGAUGUUAUACGACCUUGAUGUUCCUCCUCUGAAUACUUAUUAUGUAAUCAUAUUGCACACUCAUGUUGCUUUCAAAUUAAAUGUAGUGUGGAUUCCAUUCUCCUUUCGUAUUGUUGUUUAUUUGCAGGAGAUUGAGCAACGCGGUGUAUUUUGUUGUUGUGCAAUAUUGGCUGGAAGGAUGAUCGAGAGCUGCGCACACUCAUCAAUGAGUUGGUCCAGCCUGAGUUCGAAUCCCGACACAGCUAUAAACAGUCAUCUCGGUGUUUCGCAGGCAGGAUGAAUCAUCAUCAAUGGGUGUUCCCGAUUUUAUGUUCACCUGGG
Molecule: long non-coding RNA, 2560 nt
Organism: Eptatretus burgeri (inshore hagfish)
Lineage: Eukaryota; Metazoa; Chordata; Myxini; Myxiniformes; Myxinidae
Source: Ensembl